AAUACGUUCCCGGGCCUUGUACACACCGCCCGUCAAGUCACGAAAGUCGGUAACACCCGAAGCCGGUGGCCUAACCUUUUGGGGAGGAGCCGUCGAAGGUGGGACUGGCGAUUGGACU
This 118-nucleotide ribosomal RNA is filed under the name uncultured bacterium. Its description in RNAcentral is "partial 16S ribosomal RNA". It matches the Rfam family "Bacterial small subunit ribosomal RNA", at positions 1365 to 1482 of the family's 1533-position model. The record is from RNAcentral.